UAAGCUUUAGGUUAUACAAACUAAGGGCCUUCAAAGCCCUCUAAGAGACCCUCUCAAGCUUUAG
This 64-nucleotide transfer RNA is filed under the name Baikalogammarus pullus. RNAcentral's name for it is "tRNA-Trp". The record is from RNAcentral. Lineage: Eukaryota; Metazoa; Arthropoda; Malacostraca; Amphipoda; Baikalogammaridae.